UACGUAGGGACCAAGCGUUGUUCGGAUUUACUGGGCGUAAAGGGCGCGUAGGCGGCGUGUUAAGUCAGCUGUGAAAUCUCCAAGCUUAACUUGGAACGGUCAGCUGAUACUGAUGUGCUAGAGUGCAGAAGGGGCAAUCGGAAUUCUUGGUGUAGCGGUGAAAUGCGUAGAUAUCAGGAAGAACACCCGUGGCGAAGGCGGCUCUCUGGGACGGUACUGACGCUGAGACGCGAAAGCGUGGGGAGCGAACAGG
RNAcentral lists this ribosomal RNA (253 nucleotides) under uncultured bacterium. Its description in RNAcentral is "partial 16S ribosomal RNA". It matches the Rfam family "Bacterial small subunit ribosomal RNA", at positions 524 to 776 of the family's 1533-position model. The record is from RNAcentral.